Long non-coding RNA from Tachysurus vachellii, 335 nucleotides. RefSeq lists it as uncharacterized. The record is from RefSeq and is a predicted model, not a curated record. NCBI's taxonomy places the organism in Eukaryota, Metazoa, Chordata, Actinopteri, Siluriformes, Bagridae. The transcript is spliced from 5 exons.
GCGUGCUUCCGCUCAUCUCAGCAUUAAGAAAACAUCGUUUAAGUGUGAAGAUUUUACAUUUCAAGCCGAAAAAGGACCUGAUGAAAAUGUACAAUUUCAUGGCCCUUUGAUGAGUGAUAAGAUGCAGAAGGACAACCUGAUCGGGUUAAUUCAGGGGAAAAGGCAGGAGUGUUUCCAACAGCUGAAUGACCCUGAUCAACAGAUAUUCUAUUUCUUCUGGCUGAUUAUGGAACUCUUCUAUAAAGGAAACGGAAGAGUAAUGAUGGAUGAAAUCGGAGCAGUUAUCCUAAAGGGCUAUGUCCUUGUGAGGAGAAAGCUCGGAGGUGUUAGGGACC